GGGGGGAUUUGGGAACCCCCAGCCCCAAAUUCUGCGGCAGCGGGGGCUGGGCUGGAUCAGGCACUUCUGGGCACUGCGGGGAGGGGACAGGGACGGACAGAGGGACGGACAGGAUGGACAGAGGGAUGGACAGGGAGGGACAGAGGGAUGGACACAGGGAUGGAUUGGGAUGGACACAGGGAUGGACAGGGAUGGACAUGGGGGGGGGGACAGGGAUGGACAGAGGGAGGGACAGAGGGAUGGACAGAGGGAUGGACAGGGAUGGAUGGGAUGGACAGAGGGAUGGACACAGGAUGGACACAGGGAUGGACAGGGAUGGACACAGGGAUGGACACAGGGAUGGACACAGGAUGGACAGAGGGAUGGACACAGGGAUGGACAGAGGGAUGGACAGGGAUGGACAGAGGGAUGGACACAGGAUGGACAGAGGGAUGGACACAGGGAUGGACACAGGAUGGACGCUGCAUCCACAGCCCUGCUGUCCCAUCCCGCUGUCCCAGCCCUGCCCUGUCCCCAGCCCCGGGUGCCCACAC
RNAcentral lists this long non-coding RNA (533 nucleotides) under Zonotrichia albicollis (white-throated sparrow). RNAcentral's name for it is "lncRNA (ENSZALG00000001258.1)". The record is from RNAcentral. Lineage: Eukaryota; Metazoa; Chordata; Aves; Passeriformes; Passerellidae.